AGAGUUUGAUCAUGGCUCAGGAUGAACGCUAGCUACAGGCUUAACACAUGCAAGUCGAGGGGAAACGACAUCGAGAGCUUGCUUUUGAUGGGCGUCGACCGGCGCACGGGUGAGUAACGCGUAUCCAACCUGCCCAUCACUUGGGGAUAACCUUGCGAAAGUAAGACUAAUACCCAAUGACGUCUCUAGAAGACAUCUGAAAGAGAUUAAAGAUUAUCGGUGAUGGAUGGGGAUGCGUCUGAUUAGCUUGUUGGCGGGGUAACGGCCACCAAGGCGACGAUCAGUAGGGGUUCUGAGAGGAACGGUCCCCCANAUUGGAACUGAGACACGGUCCAAACUCCUACGGGAGGCA
RNAcentral lists this ribosomal RNA (352 nucleotides) under uncultured bacterium. RNAcentral describes it as "bacterial SSU rRNA". It matches the Rfam family "Bacterial small subunit ribosomal RNA", at positions 8 to 350 of the family's 1533-position model. The record is from RNAcentral.